UAGGGAAUCUUCGGCAAUGGGGGCAACCCUGACCGAGCAACGCCGCGUGAGUGAAGAAGGUUUUCGGAUCGUAAAGCUCUGUUGUAAGAGAAGAACGUGUGUGAGAGUGGAAAGUUCACACAGUGACGGUAACUUACCAGAAAGGGACGGCUAACUACGUGCCAGCAGCCGAGGUAAUACGUAGGUCCCGAGCGUUGUCCGGAUUUAUUUGGCGUAAAGCGAGCGCAGGCGGUUUAAUAAGUCUGAAGUUAAAGGCAGUGGCUUAACCAUUGUUCGCUUUGGAAACUGUUAAACUUGAGUGCAGAAGGGGAGAGUGGAAUUCCAUGUGUAGCGGUGAAAUGCGUAGAUAUAUGGAGGAACACCGGUGGCGAAAGCGGCUCUCUGGUCUGUAACUGACGCUGAGGCUCGAAAGCGUGGGGAGCAAACAGG
RNAcentral lists this ribosomal RNA (429 nucleotides) under bacterium. RNAcentral describes it as "partial 16S ribosomal RNA". It matches the Rfam family "Bacterial small subunit ribosomal RNA", at positions 355 to 776 of the family's 1533-position model. The record is from RNAcentral.